AAUUGUGGCCAAACCAUGUCAAAGCCCGAUCUCAUCAGACUUCAGAAGCUAAAAGGAUUAGGUCUGGUUAGUACUUGGAUGGGACACUGCUGGGAAUACCACGUGCCACAGUCG
Molecule: ribosomal RNA, 114 nt
Filed under: Periophthalmus magnuspinnatus
Lineage: Eukaryota; Metazoa; Chordata; Actinopteri; Gobiiformes; Gobiidae
Source: RNAcentral